CUUCGAAACCAUAACUAAAUCCUGGAUACAUAGGACAGAUCGAGACGUAAUGUGGACGCACAGUCGGCAUUCAAACUUCCAAGCGGCAUCAUCAACGGUUAGUGGGUUGAACUGGGUUCCACCGGAAAUGCCAUGGUACUUAUCGAUCCACAGAGUAUUUAAAUAGUGGCGGACGUUUCCACAUACUAGUGGGAAAUGGUAAUGUUUAAAUUUCAAUUGCAAGAAGCUGCAUGCGAUGCACUGACAGUCACGCGCGACAUUCAUGUCGAAAUUACGCUUCCUGGAAAGUUACAAUUGUCGGAGGAUGGACAACCUGAAAUGAUGUUCCGCGAAUGUUGGAAAUUCAAAUCUGAUCUAUGCAGCCGCGGACGAUUCCAUGAUUUUAUGCGCAAACCGGCGCGAUAAACUGGUUGCUCGUACAGAAUGAUAAAGUAACCGAUGAGCAGGCUCCGCCCCAUAACAGCAGCAUUUGGAUGGAGCGGAAAUUUCCGAAACGGCAGCGUGGUGCUUUUAACUGCGCAGCAUCCUGACUUUAGCUCCAUUUCUGGCCAAAGCAAUUUUGAUCUCUUUUUCCAGAUUGUGAACAUUCAACUGUUUGCAUUUCCUCUAAGUCUUCUCGCAGUUUUUUCGUUCCUAACGUAAGCCGCAACCAUGUCUGACCGAACCCAGGAUAAAGUGAAGGAUGUCGCGGAAUCCGCCAAGAAAGAUCUGCAGAAUGCUGGAGCAGCAGCAGGCGAUAAAGCUAAAGAGGGCAUCGAUAAAUUAAAGCAUGCCACGGGUGCAGAAUCCACCACCGAUAAGAUCGUCAACACCCUUAAGGGCAAUUAGCCGGAUUCUGCAGCGAUGUCGGAUCCAUUCCACGCUCGGUAAAUCUCAUCCCGUGCUUCCCGCCUGUCACCGCGGUGGAGUCUGCUGCACAGUGCUCCAUAACGGAAAUUAAUGCCAAAUGUUUUGUACUUGUGUUGUUCGGUAAUCGG
Long non-coding RNA from Paramacrobiotus metropolitanus, 977 nucleotides. RefSeq lists it as uncharacterized. The record is from RefSeq and is a predicted model, not a curated record. The transcript is spliced from 4 exons. Lineage: Eukaryota; Metazoa; Tardigrada; Eutardigrada; Parachela; Macrobiotidae.